Molecule: ribosomal RNA, 253 nt
Filed under: uncultured bacterium
Lineage: Bacteria
Description: partial 16S ribosomal RNA
Rfam family: Bacterial small subunit ribosomal RNA
Source: RNAcentral
UACGAAGGGGGCUAGCGUUGCUCGGAAUCACUGGGCGUAAAGCGCACGUAGGCGGAUGUGUCAGUCAGGGGUGAAAUCCCGGAGCUCAACUUCGGAACUGCCUCUGAUACAGCACGUCUUGAGUCCGAGAGAGGUGGGUGGAAUUCCUAGUGUAGAGGUGAAAUUCGUAGAUAUCAGGAAGAACACCCGUGGCGAAAGCGGCUCUCUGGAACGGUACUGACGCUGAGACGCGAAAGCGUGGGGAGCGAACAGG